AGCAAGAGAAGCGUCCACUAAGUGAGGCGGCUGCUGCUGCUGCUGUUGAGGAGUAGGUGAAGAAGUAGAAGGAGAAGCACUGGUAGCAGCAGCAGCAGGUGAAGGACUUGCAGAAUUAGUAAGCCCAGGUGGUGCAGAAGGCUGCUGGAUGGAUAUAGAGGACAUAAAAGGAACUGAUGAUCUCCCAUGUUGUUGUUGUUGUUGUUGUUGUUGAAGCUGCUGCUGCUGG
This 229-nucleotide long non-coding RNA is filed under the name Capsicum annuum. RNAcentral describes it as "long non-coding RNA (CANN_LNC013136)". Lineage: Eukaryota; Viridiplantae; Streptophyta; Magnoliopsida; Solanales; Solanaceae. The record is from RNAcentral.